Molecule: ribosomal RNA, 462 nt
Filed under: uncultured bacterium
Lineage: Bacteria
Description: partial 16S ribosomal RNA
Rfam family: Bacterial small subunit ribosomal RNA
Source: RNAcentral
GACGAACGCUGGCGGCGUGCUUAACACAUGCAAGUCGAACGGAAAGGCCUUUCUGGGUACGCGAGCUGGGCCCGGGAGCGUGAGACGAAGGUGAUAUUCCCCGGCCUUCGAGAUAAGACUGAGUUACGGAGACUAAUACCGACUCUGACCUCCUGUCGCAUGUUGGGUGGGGGGAAGAUAAAUUGGUGCCGGAUGGGCCCGCAGCCUAUCAGCUUGUUGUUGGGGUAAUGGCAUACCAAGGCGAAGACGGGUAGCGGACCUGGGAGGGUGACCGGCCACACUGGGACUGAGAUACGGCCCAGACUAGUACGGGAGGCAGCAGUGGGGAAUAUUGCACAAUGGGCGGAAGCCUGAUGCAGCGACGCCGCGUGAGGGAUGACGGCCUUCGGGUUGUAAACCUCUUUCAGCUGGGACGAAGCGCAAGUGACGGUACCUGCAGAAGAAGCACCGGCUAACUACGUG